RNAcentral lists this small RNA (36 nucleotides) under Propionibacterium ruminifibrarum. Its description in RNAcentral is "Propionibacterium sp. JV5 CRISPR_Spacer". The record is from RNAcentral. Lineage: Bacteria; Bacillati; Actinomycetota; Actinomycetes; Propionibacteriales; Propionibacteriaceae.
GUGAGGAACCCCGAUCUCGUCACCCAGUGACCCUUC